ACGGGAGGCAGCAGUGGGGAAUAUUGGGCAAUGGGCGCAAGCCUGACCUAGCAACGCCGCGUGAAGGAAGAAGGCUUUCGGGUUGUAAACUUCUUUUAUGUAGGACGAAGAAAAUGACGGUACUACAUGAAUAAGCCACGGCUAACUACGUGCCAGCAGCCGCGGUAAUACGUAGGUGGCAAGCGUUAUCCGGAUUUACUGGGUGUAAAGGGCGAGUAGGCGGGGAUGCAAGUCAGAUGUGAAAUCCAUGGGCUCAACUCAUGAACUGCAUUUGAAACUGUAUCUCUUGAGUGCUGGAGAGGUAGACGGAAUUCCUUGUGUAGCGGUGAAAUGCGUAGAUAUAAGGAAGAACACCAGUGGCGAAGGCGGUCUACUGGACAGUAACUGACGCUGAGGCGCGAAAGCGUGGGGAGCAAACAGGAUUAGAUACCCUGGUA
This is a ribosomal RNA of 437 nucleotides. It matches the Rfam family "Bacterial small subunit ribosomal RNA", at positions 341 to 792 of the family's 1533-position model.